CCUACGGGGUGCUGCAGUAGGGAAUCUUCCACAAUGGGCGAAAGCCUGAUGGAGCAACGCCGCGUGGGUGAAGAAGGUCUUCGGAUCGUAAAACCCUGUUGUUAGAGAAGAAAGUGCGUGAGAGUAACUGUUCACGUUUCGACGGUAUCUAACCAGAAAGCCACGGCUAACUACGUGCCAGCAGCCGCGGUAAUACGUAGGUGGCAAGCGUUAUCCGGAUUUAUUGGGCGUAAAGGGAACGCAGGCGGUCUUUUAAGUCUGAUGUGAAAGCCUUCGGCUUAACCGGAGUAGUGCAUUGGAAACUGGGAGACUGGAGUGCAGAAGAGGAGAGUGGAACUCCAUGUGUAGCGGUGAAAUGCGUAGAUAUAUGGAAGAACACCAGUGGCGAAAGCGGCUCUCUGGUCUGUAACUGACGCUGAGGUUCGAAAGCGUGGGUAGCAAACAGGAUUAGAUACCCGGGUAGUC
Molecule: ribosomal RNA, 465 nt
Filed under: uncultured bacterium
Lineage: Bacteria
Description: partial 16S ribosomal RNA
Rfam family: Bacterial small subunit ribosomal RNA
Source: RNAcentral